UUUAUGCAAAAUCCUCAGGAAACUAAACUAAUACUGGGCCUUUUUGUUUCUUUAUUUUGAAAUUAGGGUUUCACAUGUUUUGUUUCUAGGGUUUUGGCGUUAAGUCUUAUGGUCAUAAUGGGUAUGGGCUGGUUAGGCGAAGGAUGGUGUGUAAAAUGAGGGCUCGUCGAUUGCUGUAGCUAAAAAAACAAAGGAAAGGCACUUUACUGGUAAAUUCAUGUCUCUUCAAGAUCACUAGGGAAGGCCAUUCCUUCGACUUGAAAAUCUACGAGGGACCAUUUUUCCUAAGAUUCCUCUCUUUGAGUAUCCAUCCUCUGAAAAACUAAUCAAGAUUUACAUCAAUCUGCCACACAAAAAGCCACAUAUCACAGCAAUAAAAGAG
Molecule: long non-coding RNA, 382 nt
Filed under: Populus tremula
Lineage: Eukaryota; Viridiplantae; Streptophyta; Magnoliopsida; Malpighiales; Salicaceae
Description: long non-coding RNA (PTRE_LNC001083)
Source: RNAcentral